UGUGCUACAUGACAAAAACAUAUAAUUCCAUUAGCUGGAGCGUCGAGGAUAUCCGCUAACGAUGGUAGAAACUUCCAAACACUGCUUACAUGCGCUAUCCUUGCUACGUGGCAAAAUUGUUAAGCUUAACAUGUGAUUCCAUUAGCUGGAGUAUCGUGGAUAUUUGCUAACAAUGCUAUCGAUAGAAACUUCCAAACUCUGCUUAGGAGUAGUAGCCGUAGUAGUAAUAAUAUAUUUACCUUAUCUGCGCUGUCGUUGCUACGUGACAAAAUUGUUAUCAUGAACAUUAAUUUAAACAUGUCAUUGAAUAGUUAGAAAUCCUAAUCCUUUGAUCAUGUGCAGUUUUAAAAUAUCUGUAGAUCAUUUUUGCUGAAUUGGUGCUGUACUUGAUUAACAGAUCAUUAACAAUGACAACAAACAGGAAAGCCCCUGAAAGAGAUGCCCUUGAACAUGUGGUCAAGGCUAUUGACAAGACCGCACACUUGGAAGUGAAAUUCAUAAACUCUGUCAAAGGUCAAGGUGUGUUUGCCAAAUCCCACUUUGAAAAAGGAAACUUUGUGGUGGAGGACCGAGGCCAAUUAAUAAAAUCUGAAGAAUCUCAAAGGAGGAGGAGAGUAUAUCAUAGUCAAUGUGCAGUCUUCCUGUUCGAUUUCUACUGGCAAGAAAGAUUAUGGUGCAUUGAUGCAGCUCAAGAAGAUGGCAGCUUGGGAAGAUUAGUUAAUGAUGAGAACAUCCGUCCCAAUUGCAAAAUGAAAAAGCUCAUAGUAGAGGGGAAGCCACACCUCUGUCUUUUCGCCCUGAGGAACAUUAUUCCUGGAGAGGAGAUUACGUAUAAUUAUGGAGGAACUGACUGGCCAUGGAGGAAUAAGAUUGAAGAGGAACCAGUUGAGACCAUGUCUCCUGCAGUAGAGGCCCCUGAAACAUCUCCGCAGCUUUUAGAGGCCCCUGAAACAUCUCCGCAGCUUGCAGUGCUAUCAUCAGUGUCCGAGAAAAAGAUUGGAAAGAAACGUCUUAUGACCAAGUCUGCCGCAGUAGAGGCCCCUAAAACAUCUCAGCCGCCUGCAGUGCUUUCGACAGUGUCCGAGAAAAAGAUCGAAGAGGAACCCGUUGUGACUAAUUCUACAGCAGUAGAGGCCCCUCAAACAUCCCAGCAGCCUGCAGUGCUUUCGUCAGUUUCCAAGAAAAAGAUUGGAGAGAAACGUACUGUGAUUGAGUCUGGAGUAGCUGACAGUUAUGAAACACCUGAACACUGUGGUCUGCUUUCGCCCAAGAAAAAGGAGUCCUCAGACCAAGACCAACCUUAUGUCCCCAAACUGAGGAGGACCAAAAGCAUUCAGAUUAACAGACAAACCGAUUUUGAUUCCUAUGAGCUUUUUGAGACAUCAGAUGAAAGUGAAGAAGAAUAUGUUCCUGAUACAAGCGUGGAUUCAUCUGAUGAAACGGACACCAGUGACGUUUUUGAAACAUCCAAUCAGAAGAAAAUUACAUUAAGGGGACGCUCACUCGUACGAAAGGGCAGUGCUUUGAAACGGAAAAGGCACCAUUCCAGAAGUGUAUCCUGUUGCCGAACACAUUCUUUUGGUGGACAGUCAUCAGAAACUUCACACACUGAAGACCCUCAUGGAAGCUGGACACUGGUUUGUCCUGACAGUACUACUUCCCCCACUUCAGAUGUAGCUGACGACUUACUUACCGUACCUGCUGUCUGUAAAAAAGAGGAUGGAUCACGACAAUAUAACAAAAAACAGUACUGUUUAUACUGUAAGAAGGGAUUUAUAAAAAUGGCCAGGCAUUUAGAGCGUGCUCAUAAAAACGAGAAAGAAGUUGCACAGGCUGGGUCUUUUCCAAAAGGUUCUAAACAAAGAAGACUGCAUCUGGAACAUUUGAGAAAUAGAGGCAACUUCGCCCACAAUUCUGAGGUCUUAAAUACUGGUGUUGGAAAGCUUGUUCCUCGGAAACAACCAAAAGAUGAUUCUAAACCCAGAGAUUUUGAUCACUGUAUAUAUUGUCAAGGCUAUUUCACAAAGAAAGUUAUGUGGCGCCACAUGAUGAUAUGCAAGUUUAAGCCUAGUGGCCCUACGAAGCCUGGCAAAACACGGGUGCAAGCACUUUGUGCUUUUGCUGUACCACCACCACCUGGAGUCAAAGCAGAAUUCUGGAAGGUCCUAAACCAUAUGAUUCAAGAUGACGUUUACUUUGCAGUUAAAUCUGAUGUCUGGAUCAUGGAGUAUGGUGUGCAUUUGUAUAACAAGCAUGGAUAUGAUGUUGGCAAACAUGAAUAUAUCCGUCAGAAAAUGAGGGAACUGGGAAGGCUUUUGAUUUGUUCGAGGAAAACCACUCCCUUGAAGACCAUCGAAGAUCACAUGAAGCCUGAAAAUUUCAUGCAUGUUGUGCAAGCUGUGCAACUCGUGGCUGGCUUUGUGUCUGAAUCCAGCACCUACAAGCGUCCAAGUCUUGCACUAAAAAUUGGGCAUAGUCUGGUGAAGAUAUCGCUGCUUCUUGAAGCCCGUGCAAGUAUGCAAAACAACCAACCAGCAGCAAAAGAUGCUCGUAGGUUCCACUCAGUGUACGAAGCCAGAUGGAACGAACUCAUUUCAGCUGCAUCACUGAGAACAAUGCAUGAAUCGAAAUGGAAUGUUCCUCAGUUGAUUCCGUUCACUAAGGAUGUUCAGAAACUCCACUCCUAUUUGGACAUGCAGCAAGAACAGUUUUACAACGAACUGUCCUCAGAGCCAUCUAAAAAGACUUGGGUACAUCUGACUAAAAUCACUUUGACACAAGUCAUGAUGUUCAACCGACGUAGAACAGGAGAAGUUUAAAAAAUGCCCCUCUCUACCUAUUUUGCUCCAAAUCCAGUAGAUCUGCAGGAAGAUGUGGGUAUGGCGCUUUCAGAGCUAGAGAAAAAACUCUGUCAGCAUUUCAGGAGGUUGGAGAUACGAGGAAAAAGAGGAAGAAAGGUCCCUGUCCUCCUAACUCCAGAAAUGCAGAGAUCGUUGGACCUCCUUGUUGCCAAGCGACAUGAAUGUGGGAUUCUUAAGGAAAAUGGCUACCUAUUUGCCAGGCCGUCUGUAUUGACCUGCUACCGUGGUUCUGAUUGUAUCAGAGAUUUUGCCAAGGUCUGUGGUAUUGCAAACUACACAAGUCUCACUUCUACAAAACUGCGCAAGCAAACCGGAACACUCUCUCAAGUUCUCAACCUCAGUAAUACAGAGCUGGACCAAUUAGCCAAUUUCCUUGGCCAUGAUGUCAGAGUCCAUCGGCAAUUUUACAGGCUGCCUGAAGGGACCCUUCAACUUGCUAAAAUUAGCAAAGUCCUCUUGGCUCUUGAACAGGGGCGUUUGGCAGAAUUCAAAGGCAAAGGCCUGGAUGACAUCACAAUCGGUCCAGAAGAGAGUGUGAACCUUGACAGUGACCAUGAGGCACAGGAGAAUGUAGACAGUGACACUGAGGUACAGCGUGAGUCUGACACACAAGGGGGCGCCAGCUACAUUCCAUCGCCUUAUGGAUAGGGUACUGGAGGGGGCCCGGGAAUACGCAUCAGCAUACCUUGACGAUGUGGUGGUCUUCAGUCGGACGUGGAAAGAUCAUCUGACCCAUGUCCGGGAUGUUCUGCAGAGGAUCAAGACAGCCGGACUGACGGUGAAUCCAAAUAAGUGUGCCAUGGCUCAAUGUGAGGUACAAUACUUGGGGUAUGUUAUUGGUGGGGGUACCAUUAAGCCCCAGUUGAGUAAAGUAAGUGCCAUUCUAGACAUCCCAAGACCAACUACGAAGAAGCAGGUGCGUUCUUUCCUGGGUGUAGUAGGCUGGUACAGGAGGUUUUUACCCAACUUUGCCAAUAGAGCUGCCCCAUUAAUUGAAUUGACCCGUAAGUCCGGUGCUAACCAAGUUCCCUGGUCUGAAGAUUGUGACAAGGCUUUUAAUGAUUUGAGGAGUUGUCUUUGCAGUGAUCCUAUUUUGCAGAAUCCUGACUUCAGCCAGCCAUUCACCGUGCAGACAGAUGCCUCAGGAGUAGGCCUUGGUGCGGUGUUGCUGCAGGGGGAGCCAGGACAGCAAAAGCCGGUGGUGUACCUCAGCCGAAAACUCUUCCCACGGAACUCCGGUAUUCAACGGUGGAGAAAGAAUGCCUGGCGAUCAAGUGGGCCCUGGAGUCGCUGAAAUACUACCUGGUGGGCAAGGACUUCAUCCUGGAGACAGAUCACCGCGCUCUGAAAUGGCUACAUCGGAUGAAGGACACCAACUCCAGGGUGACCCGGUGGUACAUCUCGCUACAGC
Molecule: RNA transcript, 4272 nt
Organism: Alosa alosa (allis shad)
Lineage: Eukaryota; Metazoa; Chordata; Actinopteri; Clupeiformes; Clupeidae
Gene name: histone-lysine N-methyltransferase NSD2-like
Exons: 12
Source: RefSeq, a predicted model, not a curated record